Molecule: ribosomal RNA, 253 nt
Filed under: uncultured bacterium
Lineage: Bacteria
Description: partial 16S ribosomal RNA
Rfam family: Bacterial small subunit ribosomal RNA
Source: RNAcentral
CACGGGGGGAGCAAGCGUUGUUUGGAAUUACUGGGCGUAAAGGGCUCGUAGGCGGCCAACUAAGUCAGACGUGAAAUCCCUCGGCUUAACCGGGGAACUGCGUCUGAUACUGGAUGGCUUGAGGUUGGGAGAGGGAUGCGGAAUUCCAGGUGUAGCGGUGAAAUGCGUAGAUAUCUGGAGGAACACCGGUGGCGAAGGCGGCAUCCUGGACCGGCAUUGACGCUGAGGCGCGAAAGCCAGGGGAGCAAACGGG